ACGGGAGGCAGCAGUGGGGAAUAUUGGACAAUGGGGGAAACCCUGAUCCAGCGACGCCGCGUGAGUGAAGAAGUAUUUCGGUAUGUAAAGCUCUAUCAGCAAGGAAGAAAAUGGCGGUACCUGACUAAGAAGCUCCGGCUAAAUACGUGCCAGCAGCCGCGGUAAUACGUAUGGAGCAAGCGUUAUCCGGAUUUACUGGGUGUAAAGGGUGCGUAGGUGGCAUGGUAAGUCAGAUGUGAAAUACCGGGGCUCAACCCCGGAGCUGCAUUUGAAACUGCAGGCUGGAGUACAGGAGAGGCAAGCGGAAUUCCUAGUGUAGCGGUGAAAUGCGUAGAUAUUAGGAGGAACACCAGUGGCGAAGGCGGCUUGCUGGACUGUUACUGACACUGAGGCACGAAAGCGUGGGGAGCAAACAGGAUUAGAUACCCUGGUA
Molecule: ribosomal RNA, 433 nt
Filed under: uncultured Lachnospiraceae bacterium
Lineage: Bacteria; Bacillati; Bacillota; Clostridia; Lachnospirales; Lachnospiraceae
Description: partial 16S ribosomal RNA
Rfam family: Bacterial small subunit ribosomal RNA
Source: RNAcentral